AUUGAACGCUGGCGGCAUGCUUUACACAUGCAAGUCGAACGGCAGCGCGGGCUUCGGCCUGGCGGCGAGUGGCGAACGGUGAGUAAUACAUCGGAACGUGCCCAGUAGUGGGGGAUAGCUCGGCGAAAGCCGGAUUAAUACCGCAUACGACCUGAGGGUGAAAGCGGGGGAUCUUCGGACCUCGCGCUAUUGGAGCGGCCGAUGGCAGAUUAGCUAGUUGGUGGGGUAAAGGCCUACCAAGGCGACGAUCUGUAGCUGGUCUGAGAGGACGACCAGCCACACUGGGACUGAGACACGGCCCAGACUCCUACGGGAGGCAGCAGUGGGGAAUUUUGGACAAUGGGCGAAAGCCUGAUCCAGCAAUGCCGCGUGUGUGAUGAAGGCCUUCGGGUUGUAAAGCACUUUUGGCGGGAACGAAAAGGACUGUGCCAAUACCACGGUUCGAUGACGGUACCCGCAGAAUAAGCACCGGUUAACUACGUG
Molecule: ribosomal RNA, 483 nt
Filed under: uncultured bacterium
Lineage: Bacteria
Description: partial 16S ribosomal RNA
Rfam family: Bacterial small subunit ribosomal RNA
Source: RNAcentral